Molecule: long non-coding RNA, 561 nt
Organism: Arabidopsis thaliana (thale cress)
Lineage: Eukaryota; Viridiplantae; Streptophyta; Magnoliopsida; Brassicales; Brassicaceae
Product: other RNA
Exons: 3
Source: RefSeq
GAGAAAAGACAAACAAGUUUUGAAAGAGAUCAGAAACAAGACAGAGGAGAUAGAUGAUGAGGUUGUCCAUCUCAAUGGAUAAAUCUUCAUGCUUCCCUUCCAGGAAUCGCCAAUACCAAACGAGUUUCGUCGGAUGAAAAAACGAUGGUUAGUGAUCUUUUGUCAUAAGCACGGGCAAAGCUAACGAUGCGCUAUCAAGAAGUAUCCAAACGUUGCUUAUACUGAACAAAAAUAGAGUAAAGGCUCGAGAUUCAAGCCAAAUAUUUCAAAACACCUAGCACAGUGGCACCUAAUUGAACCGAACAAAUCCAAACCGGCUUUGUAGAGCAGGUUACGCAAAAAGCAGAAAGACUCAAGCUUCUGCAAGAACUGGUGUGUGUAUUUAGUGGCUGGCAGCUACCAAAGCCAUGUGCUCUAUAAGGUCAAGAACUCGGUUGCUGUAAGUAAAAUGGGAGAAGAUUUUUAAGUGUUAGAACUGUUAGCUAGGAUGAGAAAUAUAAGAUGAGAAACAAAAGUGUACCUGUAACCCCAUUCGUUGUCGUACCAAGAGACAAGUUUCAC